Molecule: ribosomal RNA, 152 nt
Filed under: Ichthyophthirius multifiliis
Lineage: Eukaryota; Ciliophora; Oligohymenophorea; Hymenostomatida
Description: 5.8S ribosomal RNA
Rfam family: 5.8S ribosomal RNA
About the family: 5.8S ribosomal RNA (5.8S rRNA) is a component of the large subunit of the eukaryotic ribosome. It is transcribed by RNA polymerase I as part of the 45S precursor that also contains 18S and 28S rRNA.
Source: RNAcentral
AGAAAAUUUUCAACGGUGGAUAUCUAGGUUCCCGUGACGAUGAAGAACGCAGCGAAAUGCGAUACGCAAUGCGAAUUGCAGAAUCCGCGAGUCAUCAGAUCUUUGAACGCAAGUGGUGGAGGCUAAAACCUUCAUGUUUGUAUCAGUGUGGA